GCCUGGGUGGCUCAGUUGGUUGAGUGUCCGACUUCGGCUCAGGUCAUGAUCUCACGGUUCGUGGGUUCGAGCCCCGCGUCGGGCU
This 85-nucleotide transfer RNA is filed under the name Felis catus (domestic cat). It matches the Rfam family "tRNA". From Rfam's summary of the family: Transfer RNA (tRNA) molecules are approximately 80 nucleotides in length. The record is from Rfam by way of RNAcentral. Lineage: Eukaryota; Metazoa; Chordata; Mammalia; Carnivora; Felidae.